UUUCUUGACUUUCUCCAAAAAAUGUUUUACAAUAAAGUCGCCUAUAAGGCUAUGAUAAUAAAUUGUAUGCGCAAUAGACGCGAUGGACCCGGGGGCGGUACCCGGCAUCUCCACCAGAUUUUUGUUAGGGGAUGAACCAGUUUUGACGUCCGUUAAAAGGCAUAUUUUUAUCCAGUAAGACAUCGCUGCCCCUUUUGGGGAAAGAAUUCAACAAUUUAGACGCAAAUGAUAAUUUUGCCGAUGUUGCAUUGGCUGCAUAGUCUUCGGACUUAUCCCAAUGGGGAUAUAUAUGCGCUUAAAUAGCGCGCAGUUAGGCGACAGGGGUUUGGGGGAACCUUUCAACAGAAAUCCCCCGACA
Molecule: transfer-messenger RNA, 358 nt
Filed under: Rickettsiales bacterium
Lineage: Bacteria; Pseudomonadati; Pseudomonadota; Alphaproteobacteria; Rickettsiales
Rfam family: Alphaproteobacteria transfer-messenger RNA
About the family: Bacterial tmRNA, also known as 10Sa RNA or SsrA, is named for its dual tRNA and mRNA-like properties. Its role is to liberate the mRNA from a stalled ribosome. To accomplish this part of the tmRNA is used as a reading frame that ends in a translation stop signal.
Source: RNAcentral